Molecule: ribosomal RNA, 254 nt
Filed under: uncultured bacterium
Lineage: Bacteria
Description: partial 16S ribosomal RNA
Rfam family: Bacterial small subunit ribosomal RNA
Source: RNAcentral
UACGUAGGGGGCGAGCGUUGUCCGGAUUUAUUGGGCGUAAAGAGCUCGUAGGCGGUUUGGUAAGUCGGGUGUGAAAUCUCCACGCUCAACGUGGAGGGGCCACUCGAUACUGCCAUGACUCGAGUCCGGUAGAGGAGUGUGGAAUUCCCGGUGUAGCGGUGAAAUGCGCAGAUAUCGGGAGGAACACCGGUGGUGUAGACGGCUUUCUGGACCGUAACUGACGCUGAGACACGAAAGCGUGGGUAGCAAACAGG